AGUUGGUGCCUUUAAUCCUAUUUUUUUAACAUACAGUAGUAUUCGAGAGCUGUAAUUUGUGCUAUAAUUAUUCUUUUGACAUAUGAAAGAGUCUCUAUUCAGAGAUGUCCUGUACUGUUUUUCAAAGUGAAGAGAACCAUUUGUAAAAGGUUUCAGAAGAAAACAUUGCUUUAAAUCUGUUCUGUAGUCUUAGUGCAAGUAUGGAAGGAAGCUUCUUUUCCACUGAAGUAUACAUCAUUGCUGAUACUUUAUGUUGAUACAGGGCAAAAAAUGGCAUUUGCACUAACACUCUUGGAAUCUCUUAAUAGAUAUGUAUUGCAAGGGAUUACGUUACAGCACUUUUAGAUGCAUGGAUACACACCCACUCCUUCAUCUGUCAAUGAAGAUAGUCUUCUGGGUAUUCAUAAUCUCUGCUAGAAGGGUAUGGAAUAUCCAAGUCCUUGGAGAUUGUCCUUAUUGUGCCACAGUGAACAUGCACUAAGAUAUGAGCAACAAGAUACAAUGCAAGGCCAGAAGCAUAGAACUGCUCUCCAAAAUAACAGCACUUUCUCUGGAAACUCAGUUUCUGUGGCAUUUCUGAAGAAUUUUUCCAUCUCUGGAGAUCUGCAGUGAUGCCAUCUGGAGUGCCAUUUACCCUCCUGCAACAUCUAUGCAUCUAAACAUAUUGCAACACUUAGCAAAGCAUUACUGUUGUCAGUGUUUCAAAAACAAACAAACUGACUAGAAAACUCUUCUCGGAGUAACAUAGUUGAUAGGUGGUUGGAAUGCACAUGUGUGUAUAGUUGACCUCUGUAGAAAAGGGUAAAGCAGAACACCAUUUGGCAAAACCUUUCCACAAUGUUGUGCUGGCAGAUGCAUCAUCUGCACUUCUGCUGUGGAGUCCCAUUAAUAAACCUGUAGGUCAAACUGAAAGGAGGGUAAGGUUUAGAAGUACCCAGUCUGAUGGGCUCAAGUAUUAAACAUCCAUAGUAUAACUGUGCCAAUGUGUCAAUACACAUACAAUGACUUUGUUACUUCUAAUUAAUUGUCUAUUUUAAUUUUCUGAAAAAGUCUAACGCUUUACAUACAUUUGUUUUCUUAAAUAUGAUAAAAAUACCUAGAUAUCUGAAGAUGUGUAGAAAAAAGUGUUGAAGGAGAAAAUAAUCCUAUACGAGAGCUUGGUUACCAGAUUGAGUUCAUAAAAGGUAAUUGUAAAAUGCUUAAUUUAAACUACAAGCAUUUCACAUAUAGUAGAGCAUGUUUUAUACAUGAAAAGAUUUUAAAUAGAAAACAUUUAUUGAUAAAGUUAUGAACAAUUUUUUUUUCUCUUAAGUAAUCCUUCCAAGUUGCAGUUACAGCUGUAAUUUUUUUUUUUUUCCCUUACCAGAUACCAUAUCCGGAUGCCAUAACUGCAUUUUGCAGUUAGUAAUUGAAGGUGUAUAUCAAACCAGCACUAGUUUUUUCAGAAAUUCCCAACAAAGAAUUUUGUCUUGAUGUGUAUUUUCAUCCAUAUCCAAAUAUUUUGGUUUUGUGGGUCUACUUAAUUUAUUUGAUCAGUCAUGAAUAAGUAUCCUUUAGUUAAAUUACGAUGUUUAAAACAAAGUUACUGUUGCUUACCUCUCAUGGAAUAAGAUAAGAUGACUAGAAUAUUUCAGUUGGAAGGGACCUACAACAAUCAUCUAGAUAAGGAAUGAAAACUAGGAAAUUAAUCUUUUUGGCUGCAAAAAGUAGCAAGACUGUAACACAUCUUUUCAGUACCACAAGAAAUAAGCCAGUGUGCCAUGUUGUUAUAGGAAGAUUCUAACUAUAUGUUAUAUCUGUGGAAUAAACUGUAAGUGGGCAUUCUUAGGGCUGUAAAUCUCCUAGUAAUAAAUAACUGAUUAGCAUGAAGAAAAUCUUACAGAAUACAUAGUCUUACAGUGGUCUUUUAAAUAAUCCACAGAAUAUGGAAAAUACAUACUUUCUUUUAAAAAAGAGGUUUAAUGGGUUGUUCUGCGGAUGUCAUCUCUUGUUUCAGGUUAGUAAAUUCACAUGUCCAAAGAGAAGCAAGUAGUAUUUCUAAACAGCUUUAUAAUGCAGGUUCCAGCUCAUAGGUAUGAUAACAGUUUAACUGACUUGCAUUGAUGAGUAUGAACAUUAUAUACUGAAUCUCAUGUUUGCAGUUUUAACACCUGUAAGUCUUCCUUAAGUCUACUGCCGCCUUUUGGUGGGACUGGCAGCAGAAGCCCACAUUGUUCAUUGCACUGAGAAUUUUUAAAACCAGGAGUUACUUUCUAUAUAGUUACUCUUUAAUUAUUCAGUCAUAGGUUGGAUUUUUGGGAGGUUUUUUUGAAUGUUUAGUAGCAAAUGCUUUCCUUUGUCAGAAUGCAUGUCUUGUGUAUUGAAGUCAUAGGGGUUUAUUACAUUAAUUACAAGAAAGGAGCAAAAAUGUGUAAUAUAAAUGUCAGAAAUGUAUGUGCUUGUGCCAUAAAACAUCAUUGUAAUGGGGACUAAAAAUAAGUGUGUAUUUUGUAAUUUCCACUUAGUGUUUUAAAAAAAUUGCUUUUGACAACAUUGUAAUCAGGUAAGACUAGACACUUGUGUUCAGUCAGAUAAGGCCUUAUCUACUCAAGAGACUUUGUUCCUGUGAACAUUCAGAAUGUAGAGCUGAUAAAUUAUUAAAGGAGAAUGCUG
Athene cunicularia (burrowing owl) is the source of this 2652-nucleotide long non-coding RNA. RefSeq lists it as uncharacterized. The record is from RefSeq and is a predicted model, not a curated record. The transcript has 2 exons. NCBI's taxonomy places the organism in Eukaryota, Metazoa, Chordata, Aves, Strigiformes, Strigidae.